GCCAGUGUGGUGUAGUGGUUAAGCAUGAUAGACUCGUAAUCUGGGGAACUGGGUUCACGUCUCCGCUCCUCCACAUGCGGCU
This 82-nucleotide transfer RNA is filed under the name Podarcis lilfordi (Lilford's wall lizard). RNAcentral describes it as "tRNA.Thr". Lineage: Eukaryota; Metazoa; Chordata; Lepidosauria; Squamata; Lacertidae. The record is from RNAcentral.